UCCUGGCUCAGGAUGAACGCUGGCGGCGUGCUUAACACAUGCAAGUCGAACGAUGAUCUCCAGCUUGCUGGGGGGAUUAGUGGCGAACGGGUGAGUAACACGUGAGUAACCUGCCCUUGACUCUGGGAUAAGCCUGGGAAACUGGGUCUAAUACUGGAUACGACCUUCCCACGCAUGUGGUGUUGGUGGAAAGCUUUUGUGGUUUUGGAUGGACUCGCGGCCUAUCAGCUUGUUGGUGGGGUAAUGGCCUACCAAGGCGACGACGGGUAGCCGGCCUGAGAGGGUGGACGGCCMCMCYGGGACUGAGACACGGCCCMGACUCCUACGGGAGGCAGCAGUGGGGAAUAUUGCACAAYGGGCGCAASCCUGAUGCAGCGACGCCGCGUGAGGGAUGAAGGCCUUCGGGUUSUAAACCUCUUUCAGUAGGGAAGAAGCGAAAGUGACGGUACCUGCAGAAGAAGCGCCGGCUAACYACGYGCCAGCAGCCGCGGUAAUACGUAGGGCGCAAGCSUUAUCCGSAAUUAUUGGGCGUAAAGAGCUCGUAGGCGGUUUGUCGCGUCUGCCGUGAAAGUCCGGGGYUUAACUCCGSAUCYGCGGUGGGUACGGGCAGACUUGAGUGAUGUAGGGGAGACUGGAAUUCCUGGUGUAGCGGUGAAAUGCGCAGAUAUCAGGAGGAACWCCGAUGGCKAAGGCWGGUCUCUGGGCAUUWACUGACGCUGAGGAGCGAAAGCAUGGGGAGCGAACAGGAUUAGAUACCCUGGUAGUCCAUGCCRUARACGUUGGGCACUAGGUGUGGGGGACAUUCCMCGUUUUCCGCGCCGUAKSUAACGCAUUAAGUGCCCCGCCUGGGGAGUACGGCCGCAAGGCUAAAACUCAAAGGAAUUGACGGGGGYCCGCACAWSCKGCGGAGCAUGCGRAUUAAUUCGAUGCAACGCKAAGAACCUUACCAAGGCUUGAYAUGAACCGGAACGGCGCAGAGAUGUGUCGGCCACUUGUGGCCGGUUUACAGGUGGUGCAUGGUUGUCGUCAGCUCGUGUCGUGAGAUGUUGGGUUAAGUCCCGCAACGAGCGCAACCCUCGUUCCAUGUUGCCAGCGGGUUAUGCCGGGGACUCAUGGGAGACUGCCGGGGUCAACUCGGAGGAAGGUGGGGACGACGUCAAAUCAUCAUGCCCCUUAUGUCUUGUGCUUCACGCAUGCUACAAUGGCCGGUACAAAGGGUUGCGAUGCUGUGAGGUGGAGCUAAUCCCAAAAAGCCGGUCUCAGUUCGGAUUGAGGUCUGCAACUCGACCUCAUGAAGUCGGAGUCGCUAGUAAUCGCA
Molecule: ribosomal RNA, 1318 nt
Filed under: Arthrobacter sp.
Lineage: Bacteria; Bacillati; Actinomycetota; Actinomycetes; Micrococcales; Micrococcaceae
Description: partial 16S ribosomal RNA
Source: RNAcentral